GAUGAACGCUGGCGGCGUGCCUAAUACAUGCAAGUCGAGCGAACAGAUAAGGAGCUUGCUCCUUUGACGUUAGCGGCGGACGGGUGAGUAACACGUGGGUAACCUACCUAUAAGACUGGAAUAACUCCGGGAAACCGGGGCUAAUGCCGGAUAACAUUUAGAACCGCAUGGUUCUAAAGUGAAAGAUGGUUUUGCUAUCACUUGUAGAUGGACCCGCGCCGUAUUAGCUAGUUGGUAAGGUAACGGCUUACCAAGGCAACGAUACGUAGCCGACCUGAGAGGGUGAUCGGCCACACUGGAACUGAGACACGGUCCAGACUCCUACGGGAGGCAGCAGUAGGGAAUCUUCCGCAAUGGGCGAAAGCCUGACGGAGCAACGCCGCGUGAGUGAUGAAGGUCUUCGGAUCGUAAAACUCUGUUAUUAGGGAAGAACAAAUGUGUAAGUAACUGUGCACGUCUUGACGGUACCUAAUCAGAAAGCCACGGCUAACUACGUG
This 497-nucleotide ribosomal RNA is filed under the name uncultured bacterium. Its description in RNAcentral is "partial 16S ribosomal RNA". It matches the Rfam family "Bacterial small subunit ribosomal RNA", at positions 28 to 507 of the family's 1533-position model. The record is from RNAcentral.